RNAcentral lists this ribosomal RNA (790 nucleotides) under uncultured bacterium. RNAcentral describes it as "bacterial SSU rRNA". It matches the Rfam family "Bacterial small subunit ribosomal RNA", at positions 573 to 1361 of the family's 1533-position model. The record is from RNAcentral.
AGGCGGUUUGUCGCGUCGGCCGUGAAAACUCGCAGCUUAACUGUGGGCGUGCGGUCGAUACGGGCAGACUUGAGUUCGGCAGGGGAGACUGGAAUUCCUGGUGUAGCGGUGAAAUGCGCAGAUAUCAGGAGGAACACCGGUGGCGAAGGCGGGUCUCUGGGCCGAUACUGACGCUGAGGAGCGAAAGCGUGGGGAGCGAACAGGAUUAGAUACCCUGGUAGUCCACGCCGUAAACGUUGGGCGCUAGGUGUGGGGACCGGUUCCACGGUUUCCGUGCCGUAGCUAACGCAUUAAGCGCCCCGCCUGGGGAGUACGGCCGCAAGGCUAAAACUCAAAGGAAUUGACGGGGGCCCGCACAAGCGGCGGAGCAUGUGGAUUAAUUCGAUGCAACGCGAAGAACCUUACCUGGGUUUGACAUGCACCGGACCGCCUCAGAGAUGGGGUUUUCUUCGGACUGGUGUACAGGUGGUGCAUGGCUGCCGUCAGCUCGUGUCGUGAGAUGUUGGGUUAAGUCCCGCAACGAGCGCAACCCUUACCCUAUGUUGCCAGCGCGUGAUGGCGGGGACUCGUGGGGGACUGCCGGGGUCAACUCGGAGGAAGGUGGGGAUGACGUCAAGUCAUCAUGCCCCUUAUGCCCAGGGCUUCACACAUGCUACAAUGGCUGGUACAGAGGGAUGCGAUACUGUGAGGUGGAGCGAAUCCCUUAAAGCUGGUCUCAGUUCGGAUCGGGGUCUGCAACUCGACCUCGUGAAGUCGGAGUCGCUAGUAAUCGCAGAUCAGCAGUGCUGCG